Molecule: ribosomal RNA, 460 nt
Filed under: uncultured bacterium
Lineage: Bacteria
Description: partial 16S ribosomal RNA
Rfam family: Bacterial small subunit ribosomal RNA
Source: RNAcentral
CCUACGGGAGGCAGCAGUGAGGCAUAUUGGUCAAUGGACGGAAGCCUGAACCAGCCAUGCCGCGUGCAGGAAGACGGCUCUAUGAGUUGUAAACUGCUUUUGUACAAGGGUAAACCUGAAUACGUGUAUUCAGCUGAAAGUACUGUACGAAUAAGGAUCGGCUAACUCCGUGCCAGCAGCCGCGGUAAUACGGAGGAUCCAAGCGUUAUCCGGAUUUAUUGGGUUUAAAGGGUGCGUAGGCGGAUUGAUAAGUUAGAGGUGAAAUGUCCGAGCUUAACUCGGGAACUGCCUCUAAUACUGUUGAUCUAGAGAGUAGAUGCGGUAGGCGGAAUGUAUGGUGUAGCGGUGAAAUGCUUAGAGAUCAUACAGAACACCGAUUGCGAAGGCAGCUUACCAAUCUAUAUCUGACGUUGAGGCACGAAAGCGUGGGGAGCAAACAGGAUUAGAUACCCUAGUAGUC